UUUAAGUUUUCAUUUUCUUAGAUUUGGAUAUUGUCAACGCCACUAUUUACAGGGAACUUGAAAUAUAAGGUGUUUCGUAGAGAUAAGAGCGUGCAGUCCUCAGGAUAGACCAUCUAAUUUUUUUAUUAGUUUAAAAUAGUUGAUGAUAUAAUAUCUCAAGAAAAUGAUAAAAUACUUAAAUUAUCAAGAAAUAAUUUAAUGUAAUAUAUUCUAUUUAGAAAAAAUUGUCAUAAACUUUUGGUUGCUAC
This 248-nucleotide long non-coding RNA is filed under the name Vigna radiata. Its description in RNAcentral is "long non-coding RNA (VRAD_LNC001298)". Lineage: Eukaryota; Viridiplantae; Streptophyta; Magnoliopsida; Fabales; Fabaceae. The record is from RNAcentral.